GGUGGUGCAUGGCCGUUCUUAGUUGGUGGAGUGAUUUGUCUGGUUAAUUCCGAUAACGAACGAGACCUUAACCUGCUAACUAGAUUCUUCUAUACUAUAGAUGAUAUCUUCUUAGAGGGACUAUGUAAUACAAAUACAUGGAAGUUUGAGGCAAUAACAGGUCAGUGAUGCCCUUAUAUGUCCUGGGCUGCACGCGUGCUACACUGAUGCAUACAACAAGUGCCUAACCAGACAUGGUAUGGCAAUCUCGAAUAUGCAUCGUGAUGGGGAUAGAUCUUUGCAAUUA
Molecule: ribosomal RNA, 286 nt
Filed under: uncultured rumen protozoa
Lineage: Eukaryota
Description: partial 18S ribosomal RNA
Rfam family: Eukaryotic small subunit ribosomal RNA
Source: RNAcentral